This 1845-nucleotide ribosomal RNA is filed under the name Triticum aestivum (bread wheat). RNAcentral's name for it is "partial small subunit ribosomal RNA". The record is from RNAcentral. Lineage: Eukaryota; Viridiplantae; Streptophyta; Magnoliopsida; Poales; Poaceae.
AUGACGCUGUCGUCUGUGUUACCGAGAUCCACUAACAUCCGCUUCAAUGCCAAGGCAAUCAACCCCGAAACUGAAGCACUACUCCGAUGGAAGUCCACUUUGAUUGGUGCCAACCCGUUGCCCUCGUGGUCAAUUGCCAACUCUACGUGCUCUUGGUCUGGCAUCACCUGUGAUGCUGCCGGACAUGUUACCAAGCUCCACCUUUCCGGCUUUGGGAUCCAUGGUACGCUACACACCUUCUACUCUGCUGCAUACCAGAAUCUCAUCAAGAUCAAACUCAACAGCAACAAUCUUGUUGGCACCAUUCCAGCAAACAUAUCCCUGUUGCUCACGCUCACCAUUUUGGACUUGAGCAGCAACAAUCUUGUCGGUGCCAUCUCCUACCAACUCGGCAAGCUACCAAUACUAGUCGAGGUUAAUCUGGGAAAUAACCAAUUGACUAACCCAGAAUAUGACAAGUUCUCGCCUAUGUUCAGCUUGAAGUUAUUAUCUCUAGCUAACAAUAAUCUCUGUGGAACCUUCCCACAAUUCAUCCUCAACUACACCAUUGUGAGGAUGCAAUUCCUUGAUUUGUCAGGUAAUGACUUCUCAGGGCUGUUACCAGAUUCACUACCGGAAAUGGUCCCAAGGUUGAGGUAUCUAGAUCUGUCAGCUAAUGGAUUCUCUAGUGUGAUGCCUCGCUCACUCUCGAGGCUCCAGAAGCUUGAGAUACUGCUUCUCAACGAAAAUAAUCUUACAGGAGGGAUCCCAGAGGAGCUUGGGUUAGUACCUGGAUUGCGAGUUCUUUCACUGAGCGACAAUUCACUUGGUGGGUUCAUCCCAGCCUCACUUGGGCAGCUUCAGUUACUAGAGCAACUCAAUAUCAGAAAUGCUGGUUUGGUUUCUACUCUUCCACCCGAGUUGGGGAACCUUACUAAUCUCGGGCACUUGGAUCUGGCGCAUAACCAGCUAUUUGGAAGUUUGCCACCAUCUUUGGCCAGGAUUCAAGGAAUGUCCUGGUUCAUUGUACAUGACAACUAUAUCGAUGGUACCAUCCCACCAGAGAUGUUUUCAAACUUGACUAAUCUCGCGGUAUUCGAUGUUGCCAAAAACUUGUUAGCUGGAAGCAUCCCAUCGCAGAUUGGUAACUGUAAAGAGAUAAUCACUCUCCUCCUCUCAAACAACAACUUUACUGGUUCCAUCCCAGUAGAGAUGGGCAGCUUGCCGAACUUGCAGUUUUUGGUCAUGUCAAAGAAUCACUUUACUGGAGUGAUACCAUCUCAUAUCGGCAAUGCAACAUCUUUGAAAUUCCUUGCCAUCAGAUCCAACCACCUUGAUGGAGAGCUUCCUGCAACCAUGUCCGCGUUGAUAAAUCUUGUUGCUCUCAUCUUGUCUGGCAACAAGUUUACGGGUAUCAUUCCUAAUAUUGACGACAGGCAGUUGCCGUCUGUCAAGGUGGUAAAAGAUAAAAACACAAACAGCUUCAUGGGAGAAUUGCCAUCGGCCUUUUGUCAGUUGGCACUUUUGCAACUCUUGGAUCUAUCAAACAAUCAGUUGUCUGGUAAGCUUCCUGGUUGCUUUUGGUACUUGAAAGAUUUGCAAUCCUUAGAUUUAUCGAGCAAUGCUUUUGCUGGUGAAAUUCCAACCUCAAGUUACUGUAAUUCUUCACUAAGGUCCCUGCACCUGUCAGACAACAACUUUACAGGUUGCUUUCCAGGUGUGUUGAAGAACUUCAGACGCCUUGUUAUUUUGGAUCUCGGGAACAAUAAUAUUUCUGGUGUAAUUCCUCCAUGGAUAGGGCAAAGCAAUCCUUUGUUGAGGAUUCUCGGACUGCGAUCGAACAUGUUCUAUGGAAAUAUUCCCUAG